GAUGAACGCUAGCGGCGGGCCUAAUACAUGCAAGUUGAACGGGAUUGUUGGUAGCAAUAUUGACAUGAGAGUGGCGCACGGGUGCGUAACACGUAUGUAACCUACCUUUAACUGGGGCAUAGCUUCGAGAAAUCGAAAUUAAUACCCCAUAACAUUUAGAAAAGGCAUCUUUUCUUUAUCAAAGCUCAGGCGGUUAAGGAUGGACAUGCGGUGCAUUAGCUUGUUGGUGAGGUAACGGCUCACCAAGGCUACGAUGCAUAGGGGGUCUGAGAGGAUGAUCCCCCACACUGGUACUGAGACACGGACCAGACUCCUACGGGAGGCAGCAGUAGGGAAUAUUGGGCAAUGGACGAAAGUCUGACCCAGCCACGCCGCGUGAAGGAUGAAUGCCCUCUGGGUUNUAAACUUCUUUUGUAUGGGAAGAAAAUUCCGAACGUGUUCGGAGCUGACGGUACCAUAAGAAUAAGCAUCGGCUAACUCCGUGCCAGCAGCCGAC
RNAcentral lists this ribosomal RNA (496 nucleotides) under uncultured bacterium. RNAcentral describes it as "bacterial SSU rRNA". It matches the Rfam family "Bacterial small subunit ribosomal RNA", at positions 28 to 518 of the family's 1533-position model. The record is from RNAcentral.